Molecule: non-coding RNA, 122 nt
Organism: Flavobacterium sp.
Lineage: Bacteria; Pseudomonadati; Bacteroidota; Flavobacteriia; Flavobacteriales; Flavobacteriaceae
Source: Rfam
ACAUUACUAUAUUUGCAACAUGAAAACAAUUACAAAUAAUACUUGGUGGUGGAACAAUUUACGUCAAUAGUCGUGAACUAAGCUCCUAUGGUAUUAUUAUCUAUAAAUAUAAAAGGCUUGUC